AGACCCAUUCAUAUAAGUUAACCUGACAUAAUUAACCAAUUGUCAUAAUAUGGAGACCCAUUCAUAAGGAACUUAUAUUAUACUUAGAUAAUAUGGAGACCUUCAUAUAGGUUAUUCCAAGCACUUGAAUUGCAUCCCUUUUAUCUAAUGCAUUACAUUGUGGGCUUAUGAAUAAUUUAAUUAAGGGAAUGUCCAUUCGAGUAAAUGUUUAUUUCACUUUACUCUCAUCACCAAGGGAUGAAAUCAAACAAUUUCAUUUGAAACCACCAAAACCCUAGACCAAUGCAACAAAAAAAUCUGAAAAAACCACAAAUUAAAUUUUUUUUUUAUGUACCAAAACAACAAUCAUAGAGAGGGAGAGAAUGAAGAGAGAAAGAGGGAGAGAGUCACAAAGUGGAAAAAAAAAGGAUGUUAAUACUUAUCUAUUAAGAGGGCGAGGCAAAAAAUAUCUUUGCCUCUGCUUCUCUUCUUCUUCGUGAUGGAGAGAGAGAUAUACAGGUCUCUGUCUUUGGCGACAGGGAGAGGGAGUGAAAGAGGGGGAGAAGUAAAGUUAGAGAGAGAAACAGGGAAGGAAAUUUACAGAGAGGGAGCGAGAGCAAGUGUGAAGAUUGGGAGUUUUAGGGCUAAGGAUCGGUAAGCAUUGGAUCGCUAGCAAACUUGGCCAAAAAAAAAAAAAAUCUAGGUUCCCGUUUAGCGAUGUAUUUUCAUAUCAAAUUGUACGUAAAUUUUCCUACAUAAUAACAUUCUCUUAUCAAAGAACUUUAGAUAAACAUUAAUUGAAUUCAAACUUAGAGAGGGAUGACCAUCAACUUUUAGAUAAAUAUUAAUUGAACUCGAACUUAGAGUGGGAUGGCCAUCAACUCAAAACACAUGCCCUUUAUUAUAGUUAUUACCUAUGGGCUUUAUUUAUAAACAGUUCACAAACUACCUCAAUAACAAGUUACAUGAAUAACCCUUUAUUUAGAAGAAGUAUUCAUUUUCA
RNAcentral lists this long non-coding RNA (982 nucleotides) under Amborella trichopoda. RNAcentral describes it as "long non-coding RNA (ATRI_LNC001078)". The record is from RNAcentral. Lineage: Eukaryota; Viridiplantae; Streptophyta; Magnoliopsida; Amborellales; Amborellaceae.